RNAcentral lists this transfer RNA (18 nucleotides) under Moerckia flotoviana. RNAcentral describes it as "partial tRNA-Phe". Lineage: Eukaryota; Viridiplantae; Streptophyta; Jungermanniopsida; Pallaviciniales; Moerckiaceae. RNAcentral also lists the same sequence under 4 other names. The record is from RNAcentral.
GCCGGGAUAGCUCAGUCG